Hippopotamus amphibius kiboko is the source of this 107-nucleotide small nuclear RNA. Lineage: Eukaryota; Metazoa; Chordata; Mammalia; Artiodactyla; Hippopotamidae. The record is from RefSeq and is a predicted model, not a curated record.
GUGCUCGCUACGGCAACACAUACACUAAAAUUGGAAUGAUACAGAGAAAAUUAACAUGGCCCCUGCAUCAGGAUGACUUGUAAAUUCGUGAAGCGUUCCAUGUUUUU